AACGAACGCUGGCGGCGCGCCUAAUACAUGCAAGUCGAGCGAGAAGGUGUAGCAAUACACUUGUAAAGCGGCGAACGGGUGAGGAAUACAUGGGUAAUCUACCAUCGAGUGGGGAAUAACCAGCCGAAAGGUUGGCUAAUACCGCGUACGCCUCCGAAUCUUCGGGUUCGGAGGGAAAGCCACACUGUGAGUGCGGCGCUCUUUGAUGAGCUCAUGUCCUAUCAGCUUGUUGGUAGGGUAACGGCCUACCAAGGCUUUGACGGGUAGCUGGUCUGAGAGGACGAUCAGCCACACUGGCACUGCGACACGGGCCAGACUCCUACGGGAGGCAGCAGUAAGGAAUAUUGCGCAAUGGGCGAAAGCCUGACGCAGCGACGCCG
RNAcentral lists this ribosomal RNA (380 nucleotides) under uncultured bacterium. Its description in RNAcentral is "bacterial SSU rRNA". It matches the Rfam family "Bacterial small subunit ribosomal RNA", at positions 29 to 399 of the family's 1533-position model. The record is from RNAcentral.